AACAGCUCAAAUUUGAAAUCUGACCCCCCCGGGGCCCGAGUUGUAAUUUGUAGAGGGUGCUUCGGGCGCGGCGCCGGUCUAAGUUUCUUGGAACAGAACGUCGCAGAGGGUGAGAAUCCCGUACGUGACCGGUGACCAAGCCCGUGUGAAGCCCCUUCGACGAGUCGAGUUGUUUGGGAAUGCAGCUCAAAAUGGGUGGUAAAUUCCAUCUAAAGCUAAAUAUUGGCCAGAGACCGAUAGCGGACAAGUAGAGUGAUCGAAAGAUGAAAAGCACUUUGGAAAGAGAGUUAAACAGUACGUGAAAUUGUUGAAAGGGAAGCGCUUGCGACCAGACCGGUCCGGGGGCGAUCAGCCGCGGCUCGUCCGCGGUGCACUCGCCUCCGAUCCGGCCAGCAUCGGUUCGGGCGGCGGGAUAAAAGUCCCGGGAAUGUAGCUUCCCUCGGGGAGUCUUAUAGCCCGGGUCGCAAUGCCGCCCGCCUGGACCGAGGACCGCGCUUCGGCUAGGAUGCUGGCGUAAUGGUCGCAAGCGACCCGUCUUGAAACACGGACCAAGGAGUCUAACAUCUAUGCGAGUGUUUGGGUGUCAAACCCAGGCGCGGAAUGAAAGUGAACGGAGGUGGGAACCCGUCAGACGGCGCACCAUCGACCGAUCCUGAUGUCUUCGGAUGGAUUUGAGUAUGAGCAUAGCUGUUGGGACCCGAAAGAUGGUGAACUAUGCCCGGAUAGGGUGAAGCCAGAGGAAACUCUGGUGGAGGCUCGCAGCGGUUCUGACGUGCAAAUCGAUCGUCAAAUCUAGGCAUAGGGGCGAAAGACCAAUCGAACCAUCUAG
RNAcentral lists this ribosomal RNA (829 nucleotides) under Ricasolia amplissima. RNAcentral's name for it is "LSU rRNA". It matches the Rfam family "Eukaryotic large subunit ribosomal RNA", at positions 103 to 947 of the family's 3401-position model. The record is from RNAcentral. Lineage: Eukaryota; Fungi; Ascomycota; Lecanoromycetes; Peltigerales; Lobariaceae.